RNAcentral lists this transfer RNA (77 nucleotides) under Paracoccaceae bacterium. RNAcentral's name for it is "Rhodobacteraceae bacterium (soil metagenome) tRNA-Arg". It matches the Rfam family "tRNA". Rfam says of the family: Transfer RNA (tRNA) molecules are approximately 80 nucleotides in length. The record is from RNAcentral. Lineage: Bacteria; Pseudomonadati; Pseudomonadota; Alphaproteobacteria; Rhodobacterales; Paracoccaceae.
GGAUUGGUAGCUCAGUUGGAUAGAGCACUUGACUACGAAUCAAGGGGUCGGGGGUUCGAAUCCCUCCCAGUCCGCCA